This 385-nucleotide long non-coding RNA is filed under the name Physcomitrium patens. Its description in RNAcentral is "long non-coding RNA (PPAT_LNC005093)". The record is from RNAcentral. Lineage: Eukaryota; Viridiplantae; Streptophyta; Bryopsida; Funariales; Funariaceae.
UUGUACACUUAGAUAGAAAAAUUUGAAAAAUAUUCUGAAUAUUACUUUCAAAAAGUAUGUCUUUAAUCACUCUAAACAUUAAUAUGAAAUGUUAAAAUGUCCCAUCUAUUUACUCAAUGAAUCCACCUUAUCAUAAACAUCAUUAGAAAAAUGGAACAUCUCUAAAAACCAUCAUUAAAAUAAUUGUCUCUAUUCCAAAUCCUUUAUUAUGAGCCCACUUUCCUUUAAUUUCUGGUAUUCUUCAUUCCAACCUCCUCCCCCUUUGUUCCAACUUUCAUCCUGAUCCCCCUUGUUUUUAACUCUCAUCCUAACCCCCCUCAUUCCUUACACCAUGGUGGAUAAAUUUAAUAAAUAGGUUGGUUAUUUUUACAUUCUUCAUAUUAAU